RNAcentral lists this ribosomal RNA (440 nucleotides) under uncultured bacterium. Its description in RNAcentral is "partial 16S ribosomal RNA". It matches the Rfam family "Bacterial small subunit ribosomal RNA", at positions 338 to 795 of the family's 1533-position model. The record is from RNAcentral.
CCUACGGGAGGCAGCAGUGGGGAAUAUUGCACAAUGGGGGAAACCCUGAUGCAGCGACGCCGCGUGAGUGAAGAAGUAAUUCGUUAUGUAAAGCUCUAUCAGCAGGGAAGUAAAUGACGGUACCUGAGUAAGAAGCCCCGGCUAACUACGUGCCAGCAGCCGCGGUAAUACGGAGGGGGCAAGCGUUAUCCGGAUUUACUGGGUGUAAAGGGAGCGUAGACGGCAGUGCAAGUCUGGAGUGAAAGGCGGGGGCUCAACCCCCGGACUGCUCUGGAAACUGUACGGCUUGAGUGCAGGUGAGGUAGGUGGAAUUCGUAGUGUAGCGGUGAAAUGCGUAGAUAUUAGGAGGAACACCAGUGGCGAAGGCAGCUUACUAAACUGUAACUGACAUUGAGGCUCGAAAGCGUGGGGAGCAAACAGGAUUAGAUACCCCAGUAGUC